CAGAAAGAGUGCCUCCACUUUCCAGCGGGCCACGGAUGACUGGGCAUCAGGUAUGAGAGCCAAUGAGAUUCCCACAGCUGCCCUAGUGCGUGGUAUGUUACUCAAAAGAGAGGGUGUUUUGCAUGACAUGGGCUCAUGCGAUAUGCUUAAAUUAGUGUAUUUUGAUAUGGUGUCCAUGGGAUAGAAAUGAACUAAGUAACUGUAUGUCUCUUCUCUUCUUACUGUGUUGGAGUGAAUGUGCCAAAUCAUCAAAUUACCUUUCAGAGCUCCUCUGACCAGCUGCAGCAGUAGGUGACUCCUUUUGUUGUCUUCAUACAAGCCAAAGAGUGUGCAGCCCUGAAGCACCUGAUGCAGAGGGUUCUAGAGAGACUGAUGGGUGCUUGUGUGUCAGUGGAUGUUGAAGAGGAGGAAGAGCCUAAGCAACACAGUACCAAUGUUAACCAGAAGAGGGUGCACUGUUCCCUUGGCACGCUCUGUGACUGGUACAUUACUUUUCUUUUUCACCUUUAUUUAACCAGGUAGGCCAGUUGAGAACAAGUUCUCAUUUACAACUGCGACCUGGUCAAGAUAAAGCAAAGCAGUGCGACACAAACAACACAGAGUUACACAUGGAAUACAGAAACGUACAGUCAAUAACACAAUAGAAAAGUCUAUAUACAGUGUGUGCAAAUGAGGUAAGAUUACGGAGGUAAGGCAAUAAAUAGGCCGUAGUGGUGAAGUAAUUACAAUUUAGCAAUUAAACACUGGAGUGAUAGAUGUGCAGAAGAUGAAUGUGCAAGUAGAGAUACUGGGGUGCAAAGUAGCAAAUAUAAAUAACAGUAUGGGGAUGAGGUAGUUUGAUGGGCUAUUUACAGAUGGGCUAUGUACAGGUGCAAUGAUCUGUAAGCUGCUCUGACAGCUGAUGCUUAAAGUUAGUGAGGGAGAUAUGAGUCUCCAGCUUCAGUGAUUUUUGCAGUUCGUUCCAGUCAUUGGCAGCAGAGAACUGGAAGGGAAGGCGGGUAACGGAGGAAUUGGCUUUUGGGGGUGACCAGUGAAAUAUACCUUCUGGAGCACAUGCUACGGGUGGGUGUUGCUAUGGUGACCAGUGAGCUGAGACAAGGCGGGGCUUUAUCUAGCAAAGACUUACAGAUGACCUGGAGCCAGUGGGUUUGGCGAUGGAUAUGUAGCGAGGGACAGCCAAUGACAGCAUACAGGUCGCAGUGGUGGGUAGUAUAUGGGGCUUUGGUGACAAAACGUAUGGCACUGUGAUAGACUACAUCCAAUUUGCUGAGUAGAGUGUUGGAGGCUAUUUUGCCGAAGUCAAGGAUCGGUAGGAUAGUCAGUUUUACGAGGGUAUGUUCGGCAGCAUGAGUGAAGGAUGCUUUGUUGCGAAAUAGGAAGCUGGUUCUAGAUGUAAUUUUGGAUUGGAGAUGCUUAAUAAUGUGAGUCUGGAAGGAGAGUUUACAGUCUAACCAGUGUUAAGAGAAUUAUGUUCUCAAUGUUCAUAAACUGAACUUCAAUUAACUACUCAGUCUGCAACCCAGAAUUUGUAAGAUACUGGUUGAAAUGAAAACAGACAGAGGCCCAGCCUACAAUAGUCAAAUGUUUAUUCACGAGAAUGUUCUGAAGUCCACAAUACCAAGACAUCCAUUUUAUAGCGGCGCACAUACUUCCACACAAACAGUAGAUAUCAUACGCACAUACAUACACACGAACAGUAGGUAUCCUACACACAUACUGUAUCACUACCCCGCCGACAAAGAUUAGGGAGACCGUGAGAAUCACUCCCUGUCCUCCCCCAAGAUUAGGGAAACCGUGAGAAGUACUCCCUGCCCUCUCCCAAAUUUCUCAGUGGCCCCUAGCCAAGGUCGGCACUGAAUUUUGCUCAGACAGUCUGUGUUUAAGAUACUAUAAAGACAUAUUGUACAGAUAUAUUGUUUUCCCCUAAUUCUGACUAAAACUACACACAUCAUUUAUUAUAAUUUUACUGACUAAAACUACACACAUCAUUGAUAAUAAUUUUAUGAUUCUAAUCAAUUUCAUACAAUUAUAUGGUUUCAGGGUGGAAUAUUCUAAUCAUUCAUUUAAACAUAUAAAUUAUAUUAACACCAAACACCUAGGUAUUUGUAGUUGUCCACAUAUUCUAAGAACCAUCCAGAGUAGUGAUGCUAGACGGGCGGGCAGGUGCAGGCAGCGAUCGGUUGAAGAGCAUGCAUUUAGUUUUACUUGCAUUUAAGAGCAGUUGGAGGCCACGGAAGGAGAGUUGUAUGGCAUUGAGGCUCGUCUGGAGGUUAGUUAACACAGUGUCCAAAGAAGGGCCAGAUGUAUACAUAAUGGUGUCGUCUGCGUAAAGGUGGACCAGAGAAUCACCAGCAGCAAGAGCGACAUAAUUGAUGUAUACAGAGAAACGAGUCGGCCCGAGAAUUGAACCCUGUGGCACCCCCAUAGAGACUGCCAGAGGUACCGACAACAGGCCCUCCGAUUUGACACACUGAACUCUGUCUAAGUAGUUGGUGAACCAGGCGAGGCAGUCAUUUGAGAAACCAAGGCUGUUGUCUGCCAAUAAGAAUGUGGUGAUUGACAGAGUCGAAAGCCUUGGCCAGGUUGAUGAAUACGACUGCACAGUAUUGUCUUUUAUCGAUUGCGGUUAUGAUAUCGUUUAGGACCUUGAGCGUGGCUGAGGUGCACCCAUGACCAGCUCGGAAGACAGAUUGCGUAGCGGAGAAGGUACGGUGGGAUUGGUCGGUGAUCUGUUUUGUUAACUUGGCUUUCGAAGACCUUAGCAUGAUCCCUGACCUCUGUCUCUGUUAGAUUGAUUGAAUGGAGAAAAUACACUUGUACUUGUGAGGGUACAUCUAACAUAUGUUAAAAAUGCUAAUGCAUGACAUGCUGUAUAAUCUCCCCGUUCUUUGCAACAGUCGGUACGUGGAGCAGUUUCCUCUGAUGUUUGUCUUUGGCAUCACCACGUCUCCCAGCACCAUUCAGCACAUGCUACCCCAGUCCAUAUCCUUUCUGCUGUGCAUUGAGCUCUUCCAGUCCCUGUCCUGCACCCAACACCUGACCACUGUCAUAGACAAGGUUUUUGUGUGUGUGUGUUGACCAUGGGGCCCCCUUACCAGUUGGCUCUGCUGGAGCACUUCCACAGCCAGCCUCUCAGAGUGCUGUGCUGUAAGGAGGUGGCGGCCCUGGGCCUCGCCACUGAACUCAGCCAAGGCAUGUAGAGAAUCCAACAGCUACCAUCCUUCAUGAGGUGACUCUCACACAUACGCACAUGCAGGCCCAGAAGUCUCCAACACACACACACUUCUACCCAUAUCAUGGUUGAGUAACAUUAUUUAAAUGUGUGGUUCGUCUGUUUAAAAGUUGUUGUGAUGCUUGGUGUUUACCUCACACCCUUUCCCCCAGGUACGUAAAGAAGCAGGCUCCCCAGGAGCAAAUGGAGCUGUUGACCAGUGAUGACAAAUAUUGAGUGCUGUUGAAAGGUUCUGAACCUUAUAUUGACAAGACUGAAUUAUGAGCUUACCGUAAUGUAUUGAUUCUGGUCUUGGGUGAUUGUUUGUCCUACCACUCUUUUUAGGAAGUGUGUCAGAAACUACUUAAAGUUCUUCGCAAAUACCAUAAGAAAGAACUACUACCCCAUUCUGAGGUGUCUCCACGUUCUAACGUCUUCUCUACCGAAAUACCUUCUGAGGAAACCGGUUUGAACAUAUUGUUUAUCAAGGUUGCCAUUGAAAUUAUACCUCAAGUUAGGAAUGUAAUUGUAGAGCAUGGCACCAACUGUCUCGCCUGUUCCACAUAUGUCUCCAUUUUCAGAUAAGGGAACUGCAGAUAUCCUGUGUGGGUUUUUGGGUUUUCCAAUUAAGACCUAGACAACCAGGUGAGGGAAGUUCCUACUAAUUAGUGACCUUAAUUCACCGAUCAAGUACAAGGGUGGAGGAGCAAAAUCCUGUUGACACUCGGCCCUCCGUGGAAUGAGAUUGACAAGUGCCUUUGACUUGGUAACUCCAUAGUGGAGGCAGGGAGCUGUGGUGGAACACAAGCGACUGGGUUGACAGAACCUGAUAUCAUCGGUAUAUCUACUUGAUUACAUUAUUAGCUAUUUACAAUUGAAAUAUUAGAUAGUACUUCAGUUAAUUAAAGCAUUACCCUGUUGUGAC
Salvelinus fontinalis (brook trout) is the source of this 4136-nucleotide long non-coding RNA. RefSeq lists it as uncharacterized. The transcript is spliced from 3 exons. NCBI's taxonomy places the organism in Eukaryota, Metazoa, Chordata, Actinopteri, Salmoniformes, Salmonidae. The record is from RefSeq and is a predicted model, not a curated record.